RNAcentral lists this ribosomal RNA (1513 nucleotides) under Shigella flexneri. RNAcentral describes it as "partial 23S ribosomal RNA". It matches the Rfam family "Bacterial large subunit ribosomal RNA", at positions 1 to 1548 of the family's 2925-position model. Lineage: Bacteria; Pseudomonadati; Pseudomonadota; Gammaproteobacteria; Enterobacterales; Enterobacteriaceae. RNAcentral also lists the same sequence under 1 other name. The record is from RNAcentral.
GGGUUGUGAGGUUAAGCGACUAAGCGUACACGGUGGAUGCCCUGGCAGUCAGAGGCGAUGAAGGACGUGCUAAUCUGCGAUAAGCGUCGGUAAGGUGAUAUGAACCGUUAUAACCGGCGAUUUCCGAAUGGGGAAACCCAGUGUGAUUCGUCACACUAUCAUUAACUGAAUCCAUAGGUUAAUGAGGCGAACCGGGGGAACUGAAACAUCUAAGUACCCCGAGGAAAAGAAAUCAACCGAGAUUCCCCCAGUAGCGGCGAGCGAACGGGGAGCAGCCCAGAGCCUGAAUCAGUGUGUGUGUUAGUGGAAGCGUCUGGAAAGGCGUGCGAUACAGGGUGACAGCCCCGUACACAAAAAUGCACAUACUGUGAGCUCGAUGAGUAGGGCGGGACACGUGGUAUCCUGUCUGAAUAUGGGGGGACCAUCCUCCAAGGCUAAAUACUCCUGACUGACCGAUAGUGAACCAGUACCGUGAGGGAAAGGCGAAAAGAACCCCGGCGAGGGGAGUGAAAAAGAACCUGAAACCGUGUACGUACAAGCAGUGGGAGCACGCUUAGGCGUGUGACUGCGUACCUUUUGUAUAAUGGGUCAGCGACUUAUAUUCUGUAGCAAGGUUAACCGAAUAGGGGAGCCGAAGGGAAACCGAGUCUUAACUGGGCGUUAAGUUGCAGGGUAUAGACCCGAAACCCGGUGAUCUAGCCAUGGGCAGGUUGAAGGUUGGGUAACACUAACUGGAGGACCGAACCGACUAAUGUUGAAAAAUUAGCGGAUGACUUGUGGCUGGGGGUGAAAGGCCAAUCAAACCGGGAGAUAGCUGGUUCUCCCCGAAAGCUAUUUAGGUAGCGCCUCGUGAAUUCAUCUCCGGGGGUAGAGCACUGUUUCGGCAAGGGGGUCAUCCCGACUUACCAACCCGAUGCAAACUGCGAAUACCGGAGAAUGUUAUCACGGGAGACACACGGCGGGUGCUAACGUCCGUCGUGAAGAGGGAAACAACCCAGACCGCCAGCUAAGGUCCCAAAGUCAUGGUUAAGUGGGAAACGAUGUGGGAAGGCCCAGACAGCCAGGAUGUUGGCUUAGAAGCAGCCAUCAUUUAAAGAAAGCGUAAUAGCUCACUGGUCGAGUCGGCCUGCGCGGAAGAUGUAACGGGGCUAAACCAUGCACCGAAGCUGCGGCAGCGACGCUUAUGCGUUGUUGGGUAGGGGAGCGUUCUGUAAGCCUGUGAAGGUGUGCUGUGAGGUAUGCUGGAGGUAUCAGAAGUGCGAAUGCUGACAUAAGUAACGAUAAAGCGGGUGAAAAGCCCGCUCGCCGGAAGACCAAGGGUUCCUGUCCAACGUUAAUCGGGGCAGGGUGAGUCGACCCCUAAGGCGAGGCCGAAAGGCGUAGUCGAUGGGAAACAGGUUAAUAUUCCUGUACUUGGUGUUACUGCGAAGGGGGGACGGAGAAGGCUAUGUUGGCCGGGCGACGGUUGUCCCGGUUUAAGCGUGUAGGCUGGUUUUCCAGGCAAAUCCGGAAA